This is a long non-coding RNA of Passer domesticus (house sparrow), 502 nucleotides long. RefSeq lists it as uncharacterized. NCBI's taxonomy places the organism in Eukaryota, Metazoa, Chordata, Aves, Passeriformes, Passeridae. The record is from RefSeq and is a predicted model, not a curated record. The transcript has 3 exons.
CUUAGUAGACAUCUAGGUAACAAAAACUGUUCAAAAUCAAAAGAAUGAAGCAUGAGACAAAGUAAAUAGGCACAGCAUCCUACCAAAAUUCCUAUCAAAACUUAAUAAUAUGGUAAAGUGUCGGGGGGAAAGGACAUCUCCCACUUCAGUUCCAACUUCUCCAGGUCCUAGGCUUGAUCAUUUAAGCUUCAGUGGCCAAUAAUCUUCUUGCUCAUGGGGCAGCAAGAGAAACAGAGCAGGCCUUGAUGCUGUGUAAGCACUGUCCAACAACAGCAAAAACCUUGGUGUGUGUCUGUGAUUGUUUUGGUCGCCAAUCCAAAACAUAACUCUGUAGGUGCUGCAAUGAAGAAAAUUCCAUCUUGAUCAACCAUUCCAAGGAGAUCACCACAUGGUAAGAGGGAAAGAAAGAAACGGCACAGCCAAAUAUACACCUAAUAAGUCUGAAAUAUCCAGCAAUAAUUCCAAAAUGACAACAACGAAAAGUAAGUGUUCACUGUGAUGC